This 433-nucleotide ribosomal RNA is filed under the name uncultured bacterium. RNAcentral describes it as "partial 16S ribosomal RNA". It matches the Rfam family "Bacterial small subunit ribosomal RNA", at positions 29 to 507 of the family's 1533-position model. The record is from RNAcentral.
AACGAACGCUGGCGGCAUGCCUAACACAUGCAAGUCGAACGAGACCUUCGGGUCUAGUGGCGCACGGGUGCGUAACGCGUGGGGACCUGCCCUUAGGUUCGGAAUAACUCCCCGAAAGGGGUGCUAAUACCGGAUAAUGUCUUCGGACCAAAGAUUUAUCGCCUUUGGAUGGGCCCGCGUUGGAUUAGCUAGUUGGUAGGGUAAAAGCCUACCAAGGCGACGAUCCAUAGCUGGUCUGAGAGGAUGAUCAGCCACACUGGGACUGAGACACGGCCCAGACUCCUACGGGAGGCAGCAGUGGGGAAUAUUGGACAAUGGGCGAAAGCCUGAUCCAGCAAUGCCGCGUGAGUGAUGAAGGCCUUAGGGUUGUAAAGCUCUUUUAACCGGGAUGAUAAUGACAGUACCGGGAGAAUAAGCGCCGGCUAACUCCGUG